AUUGAACGCUGGCGGCAGGCCUAACACAUGCAAGUCGAGCGGAUGAGAGGAGCUUGCUCUUCGAUUCAGCGGCGGACGGGUGAGUAAUGCCUAGGAAUCUGCCCAGUAGUGGGGGACAACGUUUCGAAAGGAACGCUAAUACCGCAUACGUCCUACGGGAGAAAGUGGGGGAUCUUCGGACAUCACGCUAUUGGAUGAGCCUAGGUCGGGUUAGCUAGUUGGUAGGGGAAAGGCCUACCAAGGCGACGAUCCGUAACUGGUCUGAGAGGAUGAUCAGUCACACUGGAACUGAGACACGGUCCAGAAUCCUACGGGAGGCAGCAGUGGGGAAUAUUGGACAAUGGGCGAAAGCCUGAUCCAGCCAUGCCGCGUGUGUGAAGAAGGCCCUCGGGUCGUAAAGCACUUUAAGUUGGGAGGAAGGGCUUACAGCGAAUACCUGUGAGUUUUGACGUUACCGACAGAAUAAGCACCGGCUAACUUCGUGCCAGCAGCCGCAGUAA
RNAcentral lists this ribosomal RNA (500 nucleotides) under uncultured bacterium. RNAcentral describes it as "partial 16S ribosomal RNA". It matches the Rfam family "Bacterial small subunit ribosomal RNA", at positions 30 to 523 of the family's 1533-position model. The record is from RNAcentral.